Molecule: long non-coding RNA, 1076 nt
Organism: Balaenoptera acutorostrata (minke whale)
Lineage: Eukaryota; Metazoa; Chordata; Mammalia; Artiodactyla; Balaenopteridae
Exons: 3
Source: RefSeq, a predicted model, not a curated record
UCCGACGCAGGGGACCCACCUUCCAGGCGAGGAGCGCGCGUCAGGGAACUCCGGGCUGGGGUGCGGGCUUGAGAAAUCAGGGAAACGAUUUGAGGGAAAAACUUUAUUGUUUCUAGAAGAGCCUCGAAGCAAUCACCGGAUGGGAAACCAGUUGGACGUCGUACUUACUUUCCGGGAGUCUGCAUGCUGACUGUGUUGUUGGCCAGCCUCAUGAGUGUAAGCUCUCUGACCACAUUCUGGAUCGUUACAGGAGGAGCCCCCAGACCUCAGCCCUCUAGCAGGAAUCACAAGAUAUGUGGCAGCCAAGAUUCCGCCCAGCCCCUCCCAUCGGACGCGAAGUCUACUCACUUUUUCAGUUGGUCCUGAGGUCCGCCGUCCACGCUGGAAUAAGGCAGGAUGCACCCGUAUCUAGAGGAGGCCGUGAGGGUGUCACAUCUACCGUACCUGCUAUGACGUCUAGUGUUACUGGCUGACCCCCCGACUACGAUGGAAGCCCGGGAGGGCAGGGCUUUUUGUCUGCACCGUUCACUGAAUUAAGCCAAAUGCCUAGAAAAGUGCCCGCACACAGUAGGUGCUUCGUAUGUACUGCUGAAUGAAUGAGCCCAACCAGCACCUUACAGAUGCCUGAGUGGGCCUGGGCCCUCAGCCAGCCCCCAGCCAGCCCUGCUCUGGCUACUCCCAGGAAGGACCCCUCAGACAGAAUCUGGAACCUCCUUUACAAAUGGGAAAACUGUUCUGCCCAGGGGCUGGAAGCAGAGAGCUUCUCCACGGGGCAGAGGAAAACCUUAAUUAAAACCACCCCAUCCCUCAGCAGCCCUUUCCACAGGGCCGGCGCAGGGCCGCACUGUCCACGCUUAUCCGACAGUCCUGACAGCCCUGGGAGGUCGGGCCUCUGGGCAGCCCGGCCUUCACGUGAGCACACUGAGGCUCCGAGAGGUAAAGCGACAUUCCCGAGACACACAGCCCGUGGGCGGGCGGGGAGCCGCUGUGCCGGGGAGGGGCGGGGCGCUCACCUUUGGAACAGCAGGUCCAGGACCCGCUGGGUGGUGGUGAAGGCUCGGUAGGUGCACAGGAAG